Molecule: ribosomal RNA, 368 nt
Filed under: uncultured Streptococcus sp.
Lineage: Bacteria; Bacillati; Bacillota; Bacilli; Lactobacillales; Streptococcaceae
Description: bacterial SSU rRNA
Rfam family: Bacterial small subunit ribosomal RNA
Source: RNAcentral
AAGUUACUUCGGUACAUCGGUGACAGGUAGUGCAUGGUUGUCGUCAGCUCGUGUCGUGAGAUGUUGGGUUAAGUCCCGCAACGAGCGCAACCCCUAUUGUUAGUUGCCAUCAUUCAGUUGGGCACUCUAGCGAGACUGCCGGUAAUAAACCGGAGGAAGGUGGGAUGACGUCAAAUCAUCAUGCCCCUUAUGACCUGGGCUACACACGUGCUACAAUGGUUGGUACAACGAGUUGCGAGUCGGUGACGGCGAGCUAAUCUCUUAAAGCCAAUCUCAGUUCGGAUUGUAGGCUGCAACUCGCCUACAUGAAGUCGGAAUCGCUAGUAAUCGCGGAUCAGCACGCCGCGGUGAAUACGUUCCCGGGCCUU